Molecule: non-coding RNA, 2165 nt
Organism: Odocoileus virginianus texanus
Lineage: Eukaryota; Metazoa; Chordata; Mammalia; Artiodactyla; Cervidae
Source: RefSeq, a predicted model, not a curated record
UUCCUUUCACUGCAUCUCAGCUGCCACCAACGCUUCCUAACUCUGAUUUCCUGUCUCCUCGUAUUCUCAUCUACCCCACAUUAUAAGCUAGCAUGAUUUUUCUAAAGUAUAGCUCUAAUUAUAGGAUCGGCUGGAUUAGAAACAUCAUCCAUUAUCUCUUAAACUAGUGACUAGCCCAGCGUUCAACACAUUUCAAACUCCUCCUCCACCCUCCUUCCCCUGACUCCUCUCUCUGCACAGAUCCUCCCACUUGGAUCAGGUCACAGAUGGCCUAGAUGGGACCUUCCAUAAUUUGAGUCCCUCCUCUUUUAAACCCUGAAGGACUUUGGUUGUUAUUUCUCAUGUGGCAUGUAUUUCAAUCUGCUUUCUUUAAAAAAAAACAAAAAACCUUCUUUCUCUUACUGUCCCCAUUAGAUGUUAUGAUUUUUUAGACCAGAAAUUGUAUGAGUUAGAAAACUAGAGCUGUUUCUCUUUAGAAACAAAAGGAGACAAACAUAGUAUUUCGGGUUCAUUUUUGAUAUAAAUUUCUCAGGGCUGAGGUACACUGACUCAAAGAUCUUCCUUCUCCACGAGACCCUCAACUUCUGUAGGUAACUUCACUGCAGACAGAGACAGAGGGAGGAAAUCUGCCGGAGGUCCCCAAACUAUGCAGCUGCGUGGGCCGAGAGCAGGCAUCUGGGAUCCCAGCUUCCCAACAAGAGAUCGAAGCCUCACCCUCUGCAUUGGAAAGCGAAGCCUGAAGCAUCGAACCACCAGAGAAGCACCUCUUCUAAGAUUUUUAAGGAACCCCCACAAUGACCCUCCUAGAGGCUGUUACCGCUGACAUGGCCGCCAGAAGCCGGGGGUCUCCCUUUCAUCCCCUCCCACUCCUGUAUUUCUUCUUCGUGAUUUUUGGGAGGAGGGCCGCUCUGAACGGUGCCACAGGGGCAGCUCAUUGUACUGCUGACUGGCAUUUACCCCAAAAUCAGUGAUGUUACAACUCUUUUCAUUUUCUUAAUUUCUUAAACAAUGUGAGUAAAAUUUAACUCUUGAAACUGGUUUCUUAAGUCUUUCUCUAUUUGAAGUCGUUUUCAAUUACCGUCAGUAUUUUUGUGAGGGCACCUGUCAUUUAAGGCACGGCAGACCUAGUACACAGAAGUGCCUGUAAGCACCAGUAUAAGAGUUGCUGCUAGGAAAAAUGGCCAGAAGGUUGCAGAAUUUCCUUUAGCCCGUUUUGCGGUCUCAGGAAAAGUGAGCCAUAGAGAAAGUCUCGUUUGUGACAUGGAAGUCAGAGUGGAACACACCUGACCAAACAACCACCGGCUUGAGGCUCACUAUGUCCUCCUCGAUACUGUCAUCCCUGAGUAAAUUGCAAUCCCAGGAAAACCACCUGUUAGGACCCUGUGAGCAGGAGGUGGAACCAGAGGAAGGAUGGAGGUGGGAACCCCUGCGAAAGGACCCAUGGAGAUGAGGUAACAUUCCAGUUUUAUCGGAAGAAAGACAGUUCACCAUGAUUCCGGUGUCCAAGGACAGCCUCAGCUGUAGAAGGACAUUAAUGGACAACAGUAUGUGGUAGCGAGCACAGGAAACAGCCAGCGCAUCCAAUGGGGGGCAUUGUUGGUGCAUCCUCCCAGCUCCCUCAGCAGAAGGACAGACCAAGAAAUGGACCAAACACGAACAGACUGAAGCAAGGAAGAGUGACGGUGUUAUGAGUCCAGACAAAAUGGAGUCUUCAGCAUACUUCUUUUUAACUUAAUAAAUACUUUUACAAUACCGAAUAUAUGACUUUAAAGGUUCUGAUAAGUUCAAGACCAACUUGAUUAGAACUCCAUAUAUAACUAAAUAAAUUUCUUCUACCUAAAACUAAAAGCAAUGUAAAACUAUUAUAUUUCCAUGAAAAAAAAUUACAUGGAAAGGAGAAAAUGAAGAAAAAAUGACCACUCUCGUCCACCCGGGUCUCGGUGACCUGGGUGGUGUCAUAGCCCUGGGGACCCAGCAGCCUAGAUCUAUGGGCUGGACACUACGGGGCUUGGGGCAUCAAGGAGGGCUGCCAGGACAUGAGCCCCUUGCUGCCUCUACAGCGCCUGGGCCCCUCUGGAGCAGACCACAGCUGACCAGUCAGGCACACUGGCACCUACACCCGGCUACUGCACCCCCAAAAUCCCGGACACCUGGGCUGGCAGCAC